Molecule: long non-coding RNA, 41122 nt
Filed under: Gallus gallus (chicken)
Lineage: Eukaryota; Metazoa; Chordata; Aves; Galliformes; Phasianidae
Source: RNAcentral
CGCUCGGCGAGUUGGCGGCGGAGCCGGCAGGCCGCGGAGGUCACUAUCACAUGACAAAGGCUUUGAGACAGCUUCAUCUUCGUCUGUCUGUAGUUUCCACUUGCCUUCCUGGGUGAGUAUGUAAACCGUACGCACAGAAAAAGAGCUCGCUUCUUGCUCCUGAGGCAGAGCAGCUCUCGGUGCCGCCUCGGACAUGGAAGAUGCUCGUUUGGGUUCCGCCACCACAGGAAACAUGUCUUCUCCGGGUGCUUGGCAGCAGCUGCUGGCUUGCAAAGUUUCUGCACGGGGGUCGGAUGGGCCGAGCACUGUGUGUCCUUGCAUCUCCUGUCCCUUCAGCACUGUUUUGUCUCCCUUUUUUUUGUUGUUUUUUUUUUUGAACCCUGUUUUGUAAGGAUGAUGAAUUCGUUGGCUUAGGGCUGAAGUUUUUGAACCGAAGUAAUGUGAAGAUGCACAGAGUGAAGUGUGGUGGUCAAAGGCUUGUUGAGAUAGUGAUGAGGGGAAGGACGUGGAAAAUACCAACCGCUGGAGCAGACGAUGGGAAAUCUGUGUGGGUCAGGAAUCGGCGAGAGGUUUGACGUAGCAGCAGCGCUACUACAGCAGGAGUUGGUUCGGUUCUAACACGUAAACAGCACUAAUUAGAAUUCCACCCAUACUGUUUCUGUGUUGCUGUUUGUUUUUUUUUUUUGUUUGUUUGGCAUUGAUGAAUGCAGGUACCUCUCAAUCUGAAAGACGAACCUUAGUGACUUAGUAAUAGCAUUCCUCAGCCUUCCUGUGUGCAGCUUCCUGUCUUUCCUUAUGCUGUGGAAAAGUUCUGACGCUUUCUGAUGAAGAAUUCGCUUUCAGAGCUGAAGUGGAUGAGGUCAUGUAAAGGAGAGGUUGUACAUUUGUGGGGUUGUGUUCAUACAUAGCAUGAAGCGUGUGCCACAUGGAGCACCUUUCAUGCCAUUGCCACAGUGGCACUGAACUGCUUUGGGCCUAAAAUGAGGAAGUGGGAGACUAUUUUUUAUAUAUAUAUAUAUGUGUGUGUAUGUGUGUGGGUAUAUACUUAUUUUUAAUGGCAAUUUUGUAUACUUAACAGAAAACAAGAUGAGACAUGCAUUUGGGAUAAGCUUAGCACUCAUAAACAUGAAGGAUUAAUAACAUAGCCGUGACCUUUUCCAGUCGGUGUGCAGCAGACUUGUGAUAAGUGAUGGUCCCAAACAUGCCAGCUACAAGGGGGCUGCAGGGAGCUGCUGUGCUCUGUGGUGCUGUGGCUGCAGACCCAUUCUUCAGUCUGGGAUUACGGCUGUAGUGAGGUGGGCCACAGGGGCAGUGCUGCCUGUCCUUCAGUUCUUGUAGAAUUGCACCCAAAUCUUCAUUCUCCAAAUGCUAUGGGCAGUGGGGUUGGUGUGAGUAGGUCUGAGACUGUAAACACCAGAUUAAACUACUGAAAUUCUUUAUGACAGGUUGUUGCUUUCUGUUCUGUAGCAUUACUGACAUCCUGCUCUGCGUAGAGUAACCGAUGCAGUGUUUUUCCCUAAAGUAAGAACAUGCUGAGAAAUUCAAUAACUGGCUGAUAAGCUUCAAACUGUUAUUCAGAGCUAAAUACAUAUACGCUGAUUUUUUUGGGGCUGAUUUGUUUUGUGUUUUCAGGUUAGAGUCGGGUUAGAGGUCUAUAAGUGCCUGGAAUUUCUUUAUUUGGAGCAAUAGUAAACGGCAAUGGGCAAGAGCACCAUGGAGACCUUGCUUCAGGUGGGCUCUUCAGUCAUUUUCUAGCUUUAGUUUUGCGUGAUGAAGCCUUCUGUGUGCAUGGGAGUUCAGUCCUAGAAGUGAGGUGGGGAUAAUCAUCUGCCUACAACUUCUAAGAGGAGUGGGCCUCCGUUUUGUGUGUAGUGCUAAGUGUAGCACUUGCCUAAUAUCGAUCUGACACGAACAAAUUGCCAAGAGAAGUGUCCUUUUGAACAAAAGGCACGAUAGAAGUUUUAGGAGAGGCUGAGAAGUACGUUUCCUCAUAGCUUAAAAAGUAAUAAAAAUAGCAUAGCCAUUUAAAGGGGAGAAUCAAGAUUUUUGUUAGAUUUGGCCACAACUAGAAAUAUCCGUUUACUUUAAGGAGUGCUUGUUUUGGUAACAACAAAGAUGUGCUUUAUUACAAAGUCUCACUGAAGUAUCCCUCCGUGGCUGGAGUUCAGUAAUCCGGGCCUGGCGUACAGAAUGGCCUUGGGAAGCAGCGCCAGGUAGAGUGCUGGUGUGUCACGGGCUGGGAGGUGGAGAUCUGCUUAGGAAGGGGCCACGAGAAAUUCUCAGACAUUGGUCCCUCUCUCAAAAGUUUGUUGUGCGUUUCCCUUCCUCUCAGCGCAGUGGGCUGAUAAAGUGUUUCAAAGCAGACCCACAAUUUAGGAAGCUUCUGUGUUGAGCUCAGCUUGCAGUAUGUCAGGAAGUUGCUCUGGGUGCUUUGGAGUUGUUGGGGGCUGCUUGCUCUGCACCCAGUGCCUGCGAAGCUCCUAUAGGUUUCAGUGGGAGCUGUGUUUAGGAGAGGACUUAUAGUGAGAGGAAUUAGUCCAUGCUUGUUUUCCAAUUCAAGGAGGAAAACGUUCUCUGUCAUAGCUGUUGUGUGAAUAAUUAAAGAUCUUAAAUGUCACAUUUUCCACAUAAAGUAUGAGGGGUAAUCAUGCGUUUGUUUUAUACCUCACACUUUUUUUUCUUCCAGAAUGCUUGUAAUGCACUCUGUUCAGAUGUUAGUGGUUCUCCAGCUUGUGGUCCUCUAAGCACACAAACAUCUUUAAGCGUGUGUGACAAGCCUUGCUAAGUUCACUGUUAUCUUUGCUUGUGUUCAGAGCUGAAAGUUCUUCCAGGUUGCUGCUGCUGCUCGUACUCUGUGGGCUGAUGAUCAGUGAUGUCCUGGACAGGGCUUGUUGCAGGCUGUUAGGAAGUUGGGGAACUUGGAGCAAGUGGAUGGGGAGAGUUGCUCUUCACUAUGUGUAGUAAUGGGGAGCAUGCCGGUGAGGUGUAUGCCACACGCGUGCAGGCUCUGCUGCGGUGUGAAGGCUGUAAACACACCUGCAGUGACACCUGGGCAGCUGUGAGCUGAAACGCCGCCUCUCUUUGGCCUCUGUAUGGCACAGGCAGUUGUUCAGGGCUCCAUGUUUGUGAGAAGGUGGCCCUGUGAUGGAGGAGGAUGCUAGAAAUUAAAGCUGGAGCUGAACUGAAACUCUGGUUCUAAUUCCUAACCAUAACUCACGCUGUCAUUGUUAAAACCAGCAGCUGCUUUCCAAACUGUGGGCCUGGGUUGCAUCCUGUGCCCUGUGUGUGUGGGUGGUGGGCUGAAGGUUCACAGGGUCAGAGCAUACUUGUGGAAAUGCAGCCAUAUGUCCUUCUCCACCUGCAGAUGGAGGCUAAUGAAACUUCCCUUCAUUAAACCGCACUGUGCCCGUAUAUGGGAACAGUUUACCUGAGUGAAUUAAGUUUGUUUUAGCACAGUAUGGAUACGGUUUUACCUUGCUGUAACCAUAAUAAUGUAUGCUUUCUUUAUUACUUAGGAGUUUGCAAAAGUGUCUUGAUGUUGGUCAUAUGUAUUUCAUACGGGGGGAGGGAGAGCAGGAAGAAGUCAGCUUUUUUUUUUCUGCAGUAUUAUCUUUAUUCCUUUUCCUUUCUUCCCCUUAUUAUUAGGGGAAUUCAGCGUCAGAAGCAGACUCCCUGUUUGUUUGUUUUUUUUACAGCUACUACUAUUUAUUUAUUUAUAACUGCUGUUAUUUAAGUUUUAGUGAUAGUGCAGUGCUUCAUUCUGAGGGUGGUGUGCUAAGCCUGGUGCCUGCGGAUGCAUAUGUGUCCCAUAGAAGACCCCCAGCUGUCACUCCUCUUGAUAGGUUUCAGAUGGGGUAAGACCUGAAUCAGCGUAGGGGUUACUCAGACUUGAAUAGCAGAUUGACAGCCCGCUGUUAGGUUGCAGUGCUUUAGGGAAAAAUAAAAACAACAAAUCUCACGUUGUUCUCUGAACUGUAUUACUGAUAAUUGGCAUUGCCUUGUUCAUGUACUUGUGCCCUGUCUGGAAAAGCAACAUAAGUCAUGCUAUAAUCACACACACCUCAAAACAAGGAACAGUCACUUCUUAUCCCUGUUCUAGGCACCUGAGAUACAGAACAGUGAAGCAGUGCAGGCUUGUCUGCAGCCAUUUAGCAGGUUAGUGUGAGCAAGGAAUGGAAUCAGACCCACAUCUGACUCCUUAGUUGUGCCCUUUCCCUCAGUGUGUGCUUCCUACGAAGCUUUCCUGAUAAAUGCCCAUCGUGAUGUGUGUGCGGUCUCACUGAAUUCUGUGCCAGCUGAGCAUCUCAUGCUAAUACCCAACUUCCUCCAUAGCACAACUUUAAAAAGAAAGGUGUUUUAGAGUAGUGUGAAGCUGCUAGCUUUGGACUCUGUUGCUACUGACAGGAGGGCUUUAGACUGAGAGGAGAACUCACGGAAGAGUUUUUGCCACUGAAUGUGCUAUUUGGGCUAUAGAGUGUAUUAUGCUGUUUAAUACUAACUUCUCUGCGUUAACUUUAUGCAAUCAGGUAUUGGUUUUCAUAGAAAUAUGCAUUGUCUGAAUAGUUUUUUUUUGUAUGACUACGUUGUUUUUAUUUCAUAUUCUUAAUCUAGUGCUGAGUUGCAGCUAACCUUUUCAUGGAACGUGACAUUGACAGAAGAGCCUGCUUUAUCAUUCUGGCCCUAAUUUGAUAAGAAGCCUAACUUACCAAACUGAGCUUCUGUUUCUAAACCCAGUAAAGGUGUUUCAUGUAAGGCUUUAAGAUUUGUUGAAAACCACUGUUUGGCUACUGUGGAGAUGAGGCGGCUUUGGUUUUAAAACAGGAGCUCUACUCGAGGAGGAGAGGAAACUUCAGUUAGUGAAGAUUUCAUUGUAGCAUUUGCAGCGACAGUAGCAUUUUAUCAUUUCUAGUGUUUACAAAGGUGAUAACAAGAGAUGAAUCAACAAAGAGGGAGAGCACAAGCUUGACGUUUUCUCAUGUUCCUGCCUUUUCCUUCAUAGUACACGAAUGCCCAGAGUAAUAGCAAGUCCUCAUGAGCACGGACAAUUCAGCGUGUGAAAAUACACCAGCUUCAGGCAUCUCUGUAUACAAAAAGCUGCUACAACAGAAGUUCAGUUUUUAGCGAGGAGAAGGCAAGCUAACUGGAUUUUAUGCAAUUACACUAAGAAAAUCCAUCGCUUGGGAAGCGUGGAAUUCUUAUCAUCAGAAAUCCUCCACGUGGGUGUUUCAGUAUAAAAGAUAUUACAAAAUGGGAAAAUCUUCAAAAGUAAGAAACGGCAUUGCGCUGACCCUUGUUGUCACUGAGCGUCUCUUCCAGCAAAGAUGAAAGAAAUUCAGUGGGCUUCCACAGCAUGAGAUGUAAGUUCUCUGAACUUAGUUCAAGUGGAAGCUGCCUUGACAAAAACCUCAACAAAUCCUGUCUGCAUCUUCCCUUGCUGAGGGGAAGUGGGAAGUUGCUCAUCCUGGUGCCUGUUGUUUUUGGUGAAGGGCAGCCCCUCAGCACUGCUGAUGACAGAUGAAUUGGCCCAUGGCAGGGUUCAAGUGAGGAAAGCUUGAACGUGGGCCUCUGGUGAGCUGACCACACUGUGAUGGCUGCUCUGUGCUGCAGAGUGUGCCGAACAGUGCCUUUAACAGGAUGGAAACUGCUUAGGGAACUUUACUGCUGUUUGGUGGCUUUGAUCCUGUACCUUUCAGGUAUUUCCCAAGUACAGCUUUUCUGCAGUUAUGUAAGGACCUUCAAGCAUCUGCACUGUCAGAAGUAGUCUCUGUUCUUUCUUCUUUCCUUUUCUCCCCACACUCUCCCCAGUCAGGACUUAACCAACAGCCUCACAGGAGUGGAUAAGGCACGUUGCGUGAUAAUAGUUGGGAUUAUGUCUUCUACAGUAGCAUAGUAAGUCGUCUUUCUUCUUUUAUGAAGCAAAUUAUCCUAAGUUCUUGCUUAUGUGAGCUUAUUUAAGGGAAAAACACCAUGAGAGAUUUGGUGAUGGAGAUUGAUAAAGAAAACCUUAGGAGGGAAUGAAUAGAGUAACACAAAUCAAAAUUUUCCUUAUUUUCACACUCUUCAGCAUGAAAUAACUCCACGAAAGUCAGCAAAGCUGAAACAUUGUGAUACUCUGCGUUAAAAUCAGUAUAUGAAAGUUAAGAGGAAGUUGUGCUUUUUUUUUUUUGCCAGGUUGAUGAAAUGGACAUUGUUAUGGUUGGCCGUGGUUGGUUUACUCUUCACAAGUCACUUUUAAGCAAUAGCAGUCCUACAGUGAGCCACAUCGUGCUGAUUCAUGUAUUUUAUUAUUAUCCUUCCUAUUUUUUGUGAGGUAAAACAUGGGAAUGUCAUUGCAUCUUGGCCUAACUAUCAAAGAGCUCUGUCCUGCAGCUACUUCUUUGCAGUUGGAUUACUGGACAGGGACGUGGUUUAGUGGAGGGUUGUUAGAGUUAAGGUAGUACGGUGAGGUCGUGGUUGGACUUCAUGAUCUUGAAGGUCUUUUUCCAACCUGAGCGAUUCUAUGAUGUACACCCCUUCUAGGAUCUGACCAAGGCUGCUGGUAGCCUGCAAUUCCUCAGGAAGGCUGCCAAUUUUGCGUUAUUCUUAAUUAUUGAUAUGCAGUCAGUCCUGCCAGGGUCACACACCCAUUGCACUCAGCGAUCAGUGUGCGAGUGUAUGGCCUCAUGAUGAGCAAUAGAGGAAGGGCAAGGAGCACAGGCUGAAAUGUGCAGAGCUCCUGGAAAUGAAAGGGGCUGGGAGAGUAGCAGGUGGAUGGUGUGGCAUUUGUCACAUGUGUACCAUUACUUUGCACAUACGUUUGCAUCCCAAGGUUACGUGGCUCAGCAAGAAAAGUGUUUUGAUGCAGGUUAAAUCAGUAGUUGGAGAGUACAGAUUUUGAAAGAGGUAUUGUUAUCACCUCCAGUUCACUCAAGUCUGGCUUCAGUUGUCCUUUCUCUUUGCAAUAAGUUUCUUUAAUGCUCAGUUCUCGUGUCGUGGAGUGCAGACAUCCUGCCUGCCUGCCUCAGUUCUCACUGGUGAACGCUGUGCCCCAGACCUGUGAGUUUCAGCAUUUACCUCAUUUGGAUGUCUCAGAAUUCUUGCUUUCUUCAAGUAAAAUGUCUCUAUUUGUGUUUCUUGCCUCUAAUUUGUUUGAGAUACUCUUUCAUACAUUGUGUUAAACAUCAGUCAUCAAGUGCUCAUAAUAUAUUUUGAAACAAGUACACAAAAUUGCAGCGCGAUUCAGCACUGAUUACAGAGCUAUGGCAUAGGAAUUAAUAAGAAAAUAAAAAUAGCAUAAUUAAUUUCCAGCUGCUUUUGGAGAAACAGGGGUGUUUAUGGGGGAAAUUUGGUGUCUGCAAAAUGAGGAAUGACAAAGCUGGUAGCAAAUACUUUAAUGCAAGAACCUAUUUGCAGUUUGCUUCCUCUGCUCUAUUGAUUAAAAACACAUUCCAGUGCUGAAAGAGUAAACAGAAGUUGCUGUGCUGCUUGUUGAAGGCUGCUGGACUAAAUAAAGAGCACGAGUGUCAGAACUAGAGCAAGGGGAGGAAGUUUUCAAUUUUAUUUAUGGGUAUAGAAAACCUUAACUGAGGGCAGUAAAGCACGGACAGCUGAGUGGAAUUGUUGGUUGCGUGUCCCCCUUUCCCAUUAAUCUGAAAGAGAACUGCCUGCAUGUGUGUGAGAGGAAAACUGUCUCCAGCCGUUCCCCGUGGUAUUAACUCAGUGUUUUCCUCGCAUGUCUUGUAUGUGCUCACCUCUGUGUUGCUGCAGAGCGUCGGGUGCUUGCAUGGAGUACAUCGUGUGGCUCAAAGUGACCUGGGCCAAACCUGAUGCUGUGAGAGCCCUGUGAGGCUUGGUUUCCUCACAAGGACGCUGUCAGAGGAGCUGCAGCUCUGCCAUCUCUGCACAGUUCACUGCUGCUGCGAGCUGACUGCUCAUCCAGGUGGAUCUCUGAGCAAGGCUUCAGGCCUCUUUGCCCAGGCCUGCCUGGUUUGCAAGCAGCAAAGGACGAUCCUGCCCCUGUGGGAGGCAGGUCCAGAGGAGGCAGUUAUUUAUUUGCCGGAGGAGCAGGCUCCUGGUGACGUGGUGCUGCGGGUGUUGUGCUUUCUGCUUGCCGUCCUGGGUGGUCCCACAGGGCAGUGUGCAGAGUUCGGUUGCUCUUUGUUAAGGGAGACAGAGCAAACGGACCAGGGGAGGUGAGGUGGUUGUCACAGGUGUCCCCACGCGGUGGGUGGCAGCUCAGGCCUCCCAGUGAGGACUGUGGCUGCUCUGAGUUGGGAAUCCUACAGAGAAGUCUUUGGAUGUGUUUUCUGCGCUGUCAGACCUUGCAGCCAUCAAGCCAGGCUGAGGCAGAGUGUGGAGGCAGGCAGAGCUCAAACAGGGAGACUCUUACACCCCAUCUUCAUGGCUUUUAUGAGCCUCAGGUGUGCACAUUACCUUUGCACAUGUGAUGCCCUGGCAUUCCAGUUCUGUCUGUACAACUGAUUGAAAUUGUGACCGUAGUCAGUAAGUGCUUGGCUUAAAUUGGUGAUUUUAAUCUCAUUUUGCUUGAUGUUUUUGUAUUUGUUUUCUCAGAGGCAAUCUCUAUUGGUAGGCGACCGUUAAAAUAUAUUGCUAAAUGUAGCCUUUACACUAAGUUUGGCACUUCUUUUUUGCUAGUUCAGAGGAUGCACUGUAUGCCUGCACCUUUUAUAAGUGAUUACAUGGCUUAUAUGCAUUUAUUUAGUUUGUGAGUGAUGGAAAGCUUUUGUUUAGAACGUGACAAAUCAUACUAUUUAGACCAUGGUCUUUAAGAGUCCUAUUUAUUAAAGUAAUACAUGUGCACAAACACUCCUGUAUGGGUUAAUGCAGGCUGCGCUUGCACUCACUGCUUUAAAGAAAGUAUGAUCCCGAAUAAGGCACAGAUUCUGAUGUAACCAAACUAAGCUUUUUGAACUGGGAAAACUGAUCUCUAUUUAUUUCACUCUCUCAAAAGAGAAGAAAAAUGAGCUUUCUUGCUUUUCCAACUUUAUAUCACUUACUCUUUCUCUGCAACUGCAGUGGAAGUUGCUGCUUUCAGGUAACUUGGUUCUAAACGUAGUUCUUCUUCCUUGUCCUUCAGUUCAGUAUUUGAAUUCUGUUUACAAUUUUGAAAUCAAAAGUAAAAAUAAUCUAUUAUAUGUUGAGAGUUAUAAAACAUUGCAGUAGAAUUUUAGCAUUGAUUUGUCAUAAAACUAUAUUACCUUCAGGCAUGUUUUAUAUUAAUAUACGUUAAGCAUCAGUAACGUCUGAUUGAAAUCUGAGUCUAAAUUCUUCGUUCAGAAAAGAAUUGUUUUAAUUGUAAAUCUAUUUACGUUAAGCUGAAUAUGUUUUCUAAGGCAACUUCAGUAUCCAUUAUCCGAAGUUCCUGUUUGUAAUAACAGAAGUCUGCCACCACGGAGGAGCACAGAGCAGCUCACUAGAUGACGCUGUAGCUGGGCUAACAUCUGUGUGGGAGAUGGACACCUCUGCUGCUCCUGGCAGGUACAGAUGAACAGAGACCUGUCUAUUUACAAAGUUGCGUGAUUAGAAUAAAUAAAAACAACGAAGUGAUUCUUUUAAAACUGCUGUGGCAGUCUUUCCUUCAGAUUGUGUGACAUGUGGCUGUGGUUUUAAUGGUCAAGGGAGGGCUUGGUAAUUUCCUCGAAUGAGUCUAGCACCACUGCUGUUCAGAACCUGAUUUCAGUUUUUGGGCUUUUUGUUGAAUGCAUUUUCCUCAGCUUCAUGUAUGUAUUAGAUGAAGAAAAUGAUUAAAAAAAAACACAAGAUAAAUAAAAUGGUAAAUACCAUAGAAACUCUACAGGGUAACAUGGCUAAAGAAUUCUAACCUCCUUCCCUCCCUUCCUCCCUACUCAAAAUACUAAUAGCAUCUUAACAGAGUCAAAAAAAAGACUUGAUGACAUAUAUUGACUCUGCAGCUCCAUGGUGCUUUUCUGCAGCAGGGGAAGAGUGUGCCAGUGUUUGUGACUACAAAGGAAUGCAGAAUUAGACCUUAGAUGGUUGGAGGGUUGUACUCAGAAAUGUAGAGUGUGCCUGAGGCCUGUGGCAUGGUUAUACAAACUAUUCCCAUAUUGUAAUUUUGCUCCCCCCAAAAAGAAGAAUGACACACUUCAAGAAGUGUUUUUAUGGCCUUCUUUCCUCAGUGCAAGCAGAUUUUGUGAUCUUGGCUUUCUGUCCUGUUUGUCCAAAUUCUUUUCAUCAAUGCGUAGAGUAUUCGAAGUAUCUACAGCUGUUGGGGUUCUUGUAUAGCUGAAUAUUAACAUAUAAGAUGAAAACCUAAAUGGAAAUUAGAAGAGACUUGAAGUGACAGUCAAAAUGCUGUUCACAGGUAUUUAAAACAGUCAAGAACAACAGCGUUCCUUAAAAAAAAAAAAAAGUGGGAAACUUACUGAAUAUUAUCUACACUUUUCUUAAGAAAACUUGCCAAAGUUAGAUGAAUUGCUCAUCCUGAAAGGGUCAUCAUUUUCAUUUUCACGCACAUUUGCUACAAGAGUAGUAGGGAAAUAAGUCACACAUUUUAGGCAGCUUUUCUUAUGGAAGCUGUUUAUUGCCAAAGCAUUCAUGUUUUAUGAAAGUGCCUUAAAACAAUUAGCUCUUGUUUGGCAUAAGUGUUUAAACAGAAUGCUUUAGUAAUGUGGCUGAUUUUAUAGUUACUGCGUUUCCUUAGGAUUGAACUAUUCUUGUUCUGACUCGUUUUCCUCCCCCCUUAAAUAUGUGAAAUGUUGAGGCUUUCUUUUUCAGAAAAGAAGUAUUUGAGCCGAGAUGUUUUUCAGGAGUUGUGGUAUCUUGGAAGGGUGUUCUGGAUGAGAUGUCUAAGAGGCGCCCCUCCCUCAGUGUGUGCUUAGCGGUGCUUUCCUGAUGUCUCACACUGAGGUGGGCUACUGGCCGUAUAAAAAACCAAAAAAUGUGGUUAUAAGAUUCCCUUUAGUCCGAGCUCUGAGCUGAUGUGUUUGUGCGAGCCCACUGAGGCUGCUGGAGCAGAGCUGGGCUCGGUUUGUCAUGGGAAUUCUGGCAAAACCACCUAGGGAAACCGCGUGUUUAAACUCUUGCUGUAGCUACAUUGGCGAUGCUUGAUGGGAAGAAUGAGACACCCCUACCCCUCUGUGAGGUUUUUUUGGAGGUGUGGGUUUGGUCCCAUCACUGCAAAUUAAUUCCUCAUUCUCUCAGGAACAGUGCUACGAUGGCUCACAUCACUGUCUCUCCAAAUUGAGUUAGAAGUUUGCUGUUGGCUUCAGUGGAAGGAAAUUGGGGUUUGUAGCAAAUGUCUUCAUAGAUCUAAUUGAGGGAUUUAUUCUUUAAGGCUCGUCUGUACUUGAUCUGUAUCAUAAUACUGGUUAUUGGUGUGGAUUUUACUGUACAGAAACAGGGGUGAAAGUAUGAGUGUGGAUACAGUAAGCUCACAAUUAAGGUACUGUGUGCCACAACAAUUUCCUCACCUUCAGAGACCAAAAUAAGCUGUAAAAUCUUUUCUAUAAGGGUAUAUUUGCACUUCUGUAACUGCCUUUUGGCCCAUAAAGGUAUCCUGGCAUAACAGCUUCUUUGUGAGGCACACACAUAGAAGGAGAUCCCUUGAGUGGUUUCCACUAGGAUCCUGGUACCUCAGUUAUUCUGGUUGUGUUCUGGUGUAGCUGAAGCAGGAACAUUUUCCAAGGCAGACAGAUUCUUUGGGUAACAUGUGAAUUACACUCAAAAAGUGUUAGGAGUGAAGGAGAGAAAGCUUGGAGUGAGUUUCUAGUAAGAUGUGCAUCAGGCACUGAAUGAACUUUAUUAAGUAUGACCUGAGGCAUAUGCAAUACUGUAUCUAAUACAAUUUACUGUUUAAGCUCAAAUAUAUUCAGAGAGAUGGUUGAAAAUACAUUCUAGUUCUACACUUACACUUUAGGAAGCAAAUGAAAGGCUAGCACUUCCUUCUAGGAUCCAAAGAGUGAAAAUUGUGCCCAGUGAAACAGGAAAAAAGAAAACAGGCCAGUCAUGAAGCUUUACUAUUAAUUUGCUUCGUGAUCUUGGGUAGAUUGCUUCCUCUUUCUGUUUCUCCGUUCACAAAUCUGGGAUGGUGAUGUCUCCCUCCUUCAUUAAGUGCGGUGCAAUCUCUGCAAGGAAAAAACUUGAUGCUGUGUUGUAGGGCAGAAAGUUUAAAAAAAAAAAAAAAAGAGUUCAGAUUUUUAUUUUUUUCAUUUCUUUCCAAGUGUUGGAUCUGCCGUAAGGUAAAAUACCAGUUAAAAUUACAGCACUAUUAAUACAAUACUUAAUCUCAGUAUAAGUCCCCUUGGCUUGGGUUAAUGUCUGUGAUGCUUUUUAACAUCUGAAAAAGCUGCUGCUUCCUCUAGAGGGGUGGACUGAAGGUUCACUUGUAGCAUUUCAUCCUACCAGAGAGUCACAAUAAUUUGCUUUCUAACCAGUUAUCUAAACAGAAAAGUCUUUGAGUGUACUGUAGAACCACAGAAUCAUGGAACUGUGGGAGUUGGAAGGGAUAUAUAGAGAUCAUCUAGUCAAACCCCCCUGCAAAGUAGGCUCUCUACAGCAGGCUGCAAGGUUGGCAUCCAGAGGGGUCUCGAGUAUCUCCAGAGAAGGAGAAUCCACAACCUCCCUGGGCAGCCUUUGCCAGUGCUCCGUCACCCUCACUGUGAAGAAGUUCAUUCCCAUAUUGGUAUCGAACUUCUCAUGUUCCAGUUUAUGGCUAUUUCCCACUAUCCUGUCCCCACAGAAGAUAUCCUAUAAACAUUAAUAAGAUCUCCUCUCAGUCUUCUUUUCUCAAGGCUGAAUGGACUCAGGUCACCCAGCCUUCCCUCAUAUGGGAGAUUCUCCAGGCCCUUUAUCAUCUUUGCGGCCUUCCACUGGACUCUUUCCAGGAGAUCCCUGUUUUUUUUAUUAUACUGUGGGGCCCAGAGCUGGAUACAGUACUCCAUGUGAGGCCUGACCAGGGCAGAGUAGAGGGGGGUAGAUGAUGAUGAUGUUGUCAUAAAUAUGUUACAUAUUUCUUUAAACAAUAACACACUGUUAGGGUGUAGUAACACUUUACUGUCAUAAUUGCAUACUUCUACAGGUAUCAGCUAAGUAUUUCUUACAAACCCUUCAGAACUUUAUUUCACAGAUUGCAGAGUUGUCCCAGGGAUGUUCAGGUAAGGCCAGAGCAUGGCAGAACUUCCGAACUUCCUGGAAUUUUCUACAUCACUGUAAAUAUUUAUUAUACCUUCUUCUUUGUUACUAAAACUUCUGUCCUGUAUGUACACUGGCUGACAGGAAAAAAAAAGUAAUAACUUUGUCAUGUCAGAUUUCAGGCUGACUGGCUGAGUAUUCACAAACUGCUACCAAAUCUGCCAGCGUCAGAAUAUUCAGAACUGUUCUUCCCUAUGUAAGAGCUUGCACUGCAUGAUAGAAACAUAACCCAGUAGGAUCUCUCCUUAACUUGGUGCUGUAUGAAUGCCGCCCUCCGUUCAUCCUACUUCUCUGAAAGUGACUUCUGCAGGGAUGUAUGAGAGUGCUCUGCCUGCGGUCUGAGGUGUGCGGAGGUGGUAGAAGUGUGUUUAUGCUGGUACUAGGCAUGCACUGAAAUGUCCCACUGCUCAAAGACUUCAUUAAGCCAGGCCUGGUCUGUACCUAAGUAGUUCAGCUGCUCUAGAGAUUGACAUAACUGGUGUAGAAGGAAGAAAACAUUGCAGCAGUGUGGGGCUUUGUGGGCUACUUGGUGGUCCCAGUCUCACGUUUGAACUUGUAGUUUUAAGUAGUAGUUCAGUAACAAGGAAGCCCAAUGACUGUCUUUUAAGGCAGAUUUGACUGAGAUUCACUGGAUUUUGUGCUUUCUUCUUAUAUGCUGCUAUUGUUCAGAGCUUUGGACUUCUGUGUCGACCGAGGGUUUUAAGCAUGUUCUGCUUUCUCAAUUGGCACACAGUCUUGACCAUACCAGAACUUCAAUUUUUAAUACCUUGUCCACCUUCUGAUUUCAAAUCCAGCCAUCUGAGUGCUUAGCUGUGAAAUAAAAUAAUAGAAAAUAACUGGUAAAAACUGGUAGAUCCUAAGGAGGUUAUAUUCCCCAUCCUUAUUUUACUAUUAUGGUCAGUACAGGUUGUUUAGCUGACUUUUUUACAAGUGCUCCUGAACUUGGCUUUUUUGGAUUGAUUUUUUUCCUUUGUUGAGUUUAUCCCAAAGGAUUAUGUAGGGUUUUCAUGGGAGGGAGAUGAGAAGGAAUUGCAAUUAUAAAUAUGUAUCUUCAAGGAAAAAAAAAAAAGAAAAAACACCUUUAAAAGUAAAUUAGUUUGUAGAAACAGCCUGGAGAUCUGAAGAGUUCAGUCUGAAGAGUUCUGGUCCCAGUUGCUUUUCCAGGAAUCGAUUUUUAUUUCACAAAUGCAAAAUAAAAUUAUUUCUUUGGGAGUGAGACAGGGAAUGGGGUUUUUUUUUUGGUUGUGGCGUGCGUGUGUGUGUAAGUGUAACUGCAAGAAUUAUUCAGUUGUGAAGAAGACUGAGAUGUUUAUGUGCUUGGUUAUUUUAGGUCCCCAUCCUACAGCGCCUAUGUAAUAGCAGUCCCCUGAGCUACUGCAGUUGCAGGCUUGAAGCGUUACAUGCAGCUAAUUGUAUAGGGACCUGAUCCUACACUGAAACGUUUUGGCACACAUCCUUGGGCAUGUGCACUGUUCUGGGUAAGCUGUUGUGGCUUGGCACCAGUGAAACAAUUGGUAAAGAUGGAUCUGAUUGUGGAUUCUCGUUUAUAAAGCAGCAAGGUUUGCCUUGAAAAUCUGAUAAGGCUUGUUACUUACAGAAGCUUGUAAAUCCUAUAGCCUGACAGAUUUAUAAAGAUGUUUCUCUAAGAAACAGAGAUAAUUACAUUCAGAACUUUUCUCUUUUCUCCCUAAAUCAUAAGGUUAAACAGUUGACAAUAAAAGGAGAUAAAUAAGAGUAUAGAUUAAAAAAUAGUACUGGUAAUCAGCUCAGUGGUGAAGUGAGGUCUUUUUCUAGUUAUCACUUGAAUAAUGUAACUUAUAACUUGCUGAGAAAGCUUUCCAAGCAAACUUUGCAAAAACUUUUUUUGCAGAAAAAUAGGCAUUUCAAGAAAAAGUAAUGCAGAUCUUACACUACUCCAUGUCAGGCAGGGUUUCAGAUAGGAACCAGGAUGAAGACGUGCCUUGAUGCUUCCUUGGCCUGUACCAGAGGCUUCUGUCUCCUUAGGGAUCUUGCAGACUUAAACAGAAUUAAUACUGGUCAGUUAUUGCUGCUGAUGUUCAGAACCUGUGGACAACAGUGAAAAGUAGAAAUAAUCAGGUGCUUUUCAGUGUGCUGUUGCUUAGGAAUGCUGUUAUCAGGGUGAACUCAGGCUCACCAAGAGGACUUUUGAUCAGGUUAUGGGAACUGUUAUGCCACUCUUUCCAACUGUCCUGUAAAGUAGUUCAACUGCCUGCUACUGCUUUGAGUUUGUAGGUAAGCAGGGUCCUUCCUACUGCAUUCCUAAUAUUUCAAAAUAUAGGACUGCUAUGGAAAUAAAAUGGAGAUGAAAGGAUUGUUGUCAACACUCACUUGCAUUGAAUUGCUGUUUCUUACAGCCCUGAUGUUUUUCUCUAGUGCUUUGUGAUGGUGUUGAGAGACUUGCAGUGGGCGUUGGAUCUGAAUCUGUUCUGGUGCUAGAUAAUAACAGUUCUUUUUCUCUGUAACCAAGGUCAGAAGGUGCCUUAGGUACACAUCUACAGUUAGAGCGAUUCUGGUUCAGUGUCUUGGUGCUCCAGAGCAGGGAAUGGGCUGAACCAAAUGGCUUCUGACAAGAUGUUGAUAUAUUGAUAUAAUAUAUAUGCAGAGUGAGGAUAGAUGACACUGGUGCCUGGGCUAUCUUUGCAAGAGAUUGUCUGGAUCUCACUUCUAGGGUGCACAGCAUGUCUUCUGCAGUCCUGAUGCCCUAUGGAAUUCCCUUUCUCCUGAGUUUUAUAUACAGGAGGAGUGCUUAAGGACAACUGUGAGAAAUGCCUUGAUACUGUCCAGACACAGUCAGUGCAUGGGCAGAACUCAAUCUGAGAGGGAAUCUCAGCCUAGGUGUUAUCGGAGAUUGUCACAGACACUUCUGAACUUGGAUUUGUAAAUUAAUUCUCUGGCUACUACUAGGACUUUAAAAGUAGGGGGAAAUGGGGGAGGAAUAUCAAAGCUAUAGGAGACAAACACAGGCUUCUGAGGUCAUAAUUUUUUUUGUCUGAGAGCACAACAUUUCUGUCCCUCAGGUGCGAUGUGUGGACUUGAUGCACUGCCUGAUGUUUUGUUGUUGCUUCAAUCUUUAACAAAAUAUGUUAUGCUUAUGGAUGAAAGGGGGCGUUUGUGCUGUAUUUCCCUUGGCCAUGGGUCUGUAAUCAUUGAUCUUCAGUUUAUUUAUGAGCUAUUGGGGCCUUUAAUAAGGACAGUCUGCUUAUAAUGUUAGAAAGCACUGUUCCUCUCCUGAGUCUGACAGGUUUUUUUCUCAUUACCAAAGGGAGUCCCAAGAAGUUCAGUUUACUACAGCUGUGUCAACGGUUUAUGGGCCGCUCCGGCCCAGUUUUGUGACUAAUGGUGUGGAGGGACCCACAGACCUAUGCCUCAGGAAAGGGGGAAAAGGGUAAGGAGAUGGACCUGAAAACAAAAGAGCAGCAACAAUCUGAGGAGAAACAAACAAAUUUACUAAAUAAGACAUCAGAAUGCAAAACAACACACUAUAAUACAGUAUAAUACAAUAUAAUUAGAAUAAGCUAAUAAAUCAAAUCAAAUGAGAGAGAGUGUUGAAAAACCAAAGGCCUUACUCUAGUGCUGAAGGUGAGAUGUCUAGCUGGGAUGAACAGAAGGGCAAAAGAGCCCAUCUAAUAAUCUGUGAGCAGUUUUAUCUUUCCCUCUGGAUGGGAAAUGGAAACAGAACAACACAAAGUCCUCUGGGCUGUGUAGUAUGUAGUUCUUCUCUUCUGAGAACUGGGUACCCAGAACUAAUCACAAUCCAUGGAACUGGAGUAUUAACUCUUUAACUCCCACUGCACUACAUGAUGUUAUGAUGUGGAAUAUCAAUAACCAAAAAUUGUAAAACCAUGACAAGCUGGCAACAAAUACAUGACGUGGUAAAUCUCCACUGGGUUCGGUGAAGGUAUCUUAGUGGGAUGUGGGUCAGGGAAAUGCUCUUCAAAUGUUCUGUACGUCUGUGACAAAUCAUUGAGCUCUGAGAAUAAUAAAAAAAAAAAAGCAGGUUAAUUUGGGUUCUUGAUCAGGUUCAUGGAUUUGCAUCAUGUGCUUCCCUGUACAUCUUAAUUUUGGGGAUCUGGGGAGCAGCAGAUAUUUCUCUUAAGUAGAGAGCCUUGCUCUUGCUCUUCACAAUAGUUCCUGUAGUCUUUUGUGCUGCCUCUAAGUAGGUGUUAUGGGUUACCUGUCUUGAGUGGCAGUAGGCAAAGUGUAAGAUGUGAAUGUGGAGAUCAAAGGAUCUUCACCUGCUUUUUCCCAUGUUGAUAAAGUUCUCCCAUUCCAGCUCUUAUUCCUCUUGGGAGAAUUUCAGUAGUUCAUUAAGUCCUCUGCAUGUGCUAGAGGUGAAGGGGAACGAGGAGGGGAGAAACACUAAUUAGAAGCUCAAGUUGCAGCUAUAAAGUGAUCACACGGAACUGGAUCUUUUGGGAGAACUUGACAUGUGUCUUUGCUGUAUUAAAAGCUGAACAAAUACAGAAUUCCUUACAAGAAUAGGAUUACCGUGUUUCAGAAAUGCACCUAACUGCAAGGAUUUUCAGCCUAAAAUUUGUAUUAUUUCUAUGUGGAAUCUCUUUCAUACACAUGAAAUUUACUGCUAGUGACAAUUACUUGAUCGUAGUGUCCUUUUAAACUUAGAUGCAUCAGCAAAGAGCCUAUCCAAAACUUAGGAUUCUUGACAGAUAUUUAAAUAUUUAAAACACCCUCCAUAUGAUUACUAAAUCCAGCCCUUCAGCUAUGUAAACAAUGCUAGGAAUAAUGAACCAGAAAAUAUUCAAAAUAGCACAUUCUGUGAAUAUUUCUCUUUCAUUUUAACACUCACCAUGAUGAAACACAAGGAAACCAAUUCCUGAAUGUUUAUUUGUUGGUUGUUUCUUUCUUUUUUUUUUUUUUACCAACUGACUGCUGAAACAAGCUUUCAGGGAAAUCCACGGAGCCCCACAAGGUGGCAGGAGCUAACUGUACUACAUGUGAGCUGUGAUCUGGAGGAGCGUAAAGGUAACAAAUUGAUUUCACCAGUUGUGCACAUUUGGAUCAUGAGCAAAUUAAGCAGACUUCAAAAACCCACCUUGUGCUUCUGAGUAGUUUAGGCAAAUUGAUGAGAUUCCUAGCCUCAAGAAUGUUCCUUCCAAAAACAAAAAGGUUAUGCAUUCUUACUACAUCAACACAAAGGGGCCUUCACGUUCAUUCAGUGCUAUUUCCUUGCUUGUAAUAUCACAUCAUUGCUGUGAAGGGAAAGUGGGCUUGAAGCCCUUCAGCAACUCACAGCCAUAUGAGGUUCACAGUUUAACAAGUUGGCAGAAAGCAUCUCUUAGUUGCAAACUCAUCUUGACAUCGUGGGAACGCUGAUCGUGAGGACAGGAACAGCAUCUGGAACUGUACAAGUGAAAGAAUUUCUGCUGCUUUAAUGAGACAAUAGAGGUGUUUUUCUUUGGAAACCAAAGUAUCAAACCAGCAUUAAAAAUAUCCAAGUGUGGGGAUUUUUGGAAGUCAUGAAAGCAGCUCAUGCUAAUUAGUGGGGUUGCUGGCCAGUAUGUAGUGCAUAAGGCUGAAAUGCAGUGGAUUUGUUCCCUCCCUUCCUACUAUCCCAAUCCACUGGUGUUCCUGUUUCACUUUUUCUUUGGUUUCAGUUUACCUGCUGGUGUUCUGUUUGCUCUUGAAACAUUUCUGUGAUGAGGAUGUGAGAAGCACCAUGAAAUAAAGGAGUUAAUCAAGUAUUCUCAUCAAAGUUGUGAUUUGUGGGGCCUGUGGUUAUAUACUCAUACUUGCUCUUCCUUAUCCUUGCACUUUGAGUUCUAGGUCUCUCACUGUUGCGUGAUCUCUUUUGGUAUGCCUUAGAAGAUGGAUUUCUGUGGACUUUCAUGAUUGUAGUUGGCAGAAGGGACAGUGAACAAUGCAGUUAAGAAGAAAAGCUACUGCCCCUGACUUAGUGGACAACAGAGGACUUGGCUAGAGACUUAUGAAUCUCUUGAUUUGUGUUAGGACAUUUUCUUUUACAUCAGCGUCUACUUUUUUUUUUAAUGAAGUUGUUUUUUGUGUAUCAGCUAAGUGUCUUUGGUUAUUUGGACAACCUCAUUUAUGUGUAUGUGCAAUUCAGUAGGGCUAAGGCAGAAGAGGGAUUAGGUAGUUUUCUUAACCAUUAGACAGAUACUAAGAGUAGAAGUAGUUCACCUCUUAUACGAAAUCUCAGUUUCUCCCUUCUCAGUAAAUUUCUUGUUUCUAUACUGUAGGAAAAAAGAAUGUAAGCAUUUGUGAUGGAUGUAUCUGGAAUAGGCACCUGAGGUGAACUGAGUGAAUAUUUUUACAAGCUUGUGUGUGAAAUUAUGUUGUUUUUUUAUUUUUUUUGAACAGUGUCAGAAGCCAAUUAAGUUAAGAACCUUUAAAACCAGUCCUGGAGCAAUUUUUUUUCACCAAGAUGUAGUAAAACGGUCCAGUAAAAUAUCUACGCUUUGCUUGAAUGGUAGGGAUGCAGGAACGUAGAGAAGGAUGUUCCCUGCAACUCUUUUAAGAGGCAGCAUAUAUCAUUGUCUCACCAAAAUACAAGCCUGAGUAAUUCUAGUGGAUGCAUUCAGAUAUUUGUUAUUUUAAAGUGAGAACUGUGCAGUUUCCAAUGUCUGUGCUCCUCACCUGCCUUAAGUUUGAAAAGAAUUUUAGUUCUCACAUAAACAUCCCAAAAUAAUGAUUAGGUAAGUAAAAAAAAAAAAAGAAAAAAUUAAGCAAAUAUUCAGUUAUUUGAUGAACUCAGUACUGAAAUCUGUUAUGAGCAGUUAAAAAGUGUACAAUUUGCACAGUUACAUGCCAGUAAGAUUGGGCUGACUGUCAGCUGUGAAUUAUUAAGCAGUUACAGCUUACUGAAACAAACUUAGCUGUAUUUGACCAAAAAGUUCAAAACCAAAUAAUGACAUGUCAGUGAGAUGCCUUGUUCCUAUAAAGACAGUGGGAAGCAACACUUCACUUCUGCUGACUUGAAAUACUGACGGGGGAAAAAACCACGUGCAUUUAUGUCCAUAUAAUGGAAGAAAGCAGUUUUAAAAUAAAAGAUCGUGUGCUGUCAAGGUGUUGCUAUACAGUAAGAUUUUAAAGUGUUGCUUCUCUAUACCACAACCCUGUGAACCUUGUUGGGCUUGGCAGAGCGUGUUUUUCCACUGCGUGUUCAGGGUGUAUGGCAAGGUAAAGUUUGAUAGUUACUGUUCCUUACUGACAAAGAGUUGGUGGUUGUGGCAGCAUCGGGGUUGGAAAGAGCAACUGUAAUUUGGUCACAGCCAGUACAGAGAGAGACUUCAGGGUGUAUAGCAACAUCUUAGUGGCCAGAACGGUAGCUUCCUAUGGAAUAGUAGGAGUUGGAUGGUGUUUCUCAGCUGUGAUUUAAAAAAAAAUAGUUAAAAUCAUUGGAGACUUCUGCUUGGUGGUGUACUUAAAACUGUUACAUUAAACUGGGUGGCCUCACAAAGACUACGGAACAGUUUGGCAACCGAUCCUAUUGCUGUGUGGUGAUUAACUGGAAGUUAAUCACAAUAUUACUAGGGGAAAUAGGGAUGAGGGGUGGAGGAGACUUCACAGGAUAUGUGCCUCUCCAGAAUAAAUAUAUGUUUCCAGGAAACCUGGGGUCUUCUCUCCAUAUCUGCCAAACUCUGUCUUUAAUGUCUCAACUGUUUUGUUGAUCUUAGUUAAUUCAGGGACAAUUGAAGCCGUCCCAUCCACUAGAUCCCCUACUGAGGUGCUGAGUGCUUUCUCUUCUCCAUGAACUCCUUGGGAAUGCAGCACAUCACUGGCCUCUGUUAAAUACCCAACACAACUAAGGAGUCCAGCCAGGGAAAAACUGGCAAAUAUACUGCCUAUUUACUAACAAGGAUAAGAAUUCUCUCUAGCCAUCCCAAGUGUGUUUUAUAGUUGGAUUUGAGGAAUUUUGACUGGUAGGGAGCUGGCUGUGCAGUACUCAAGGUCUUUUCAAAAAGUCAAGGAAAUCUUUGCUACCAACUUCUUAAAAGCAACUUCUUCAACGGUAGGAUUUUUAAGUCCAUCCUGGCAUAAUAUCAGACCCUAAGGAUAUGUCUACAUUGCAGACUGCUGUGUUUUGUCGUUGCCUGAGUGUGCUUUUAAAUAAGGUAGAACAAGAAUCAGAAAUGGUUUGGCAGUGAUAGCAUGGAGCUGUGUACUCAGUAAUUUAACUUGUAUUGAGUAAGGGUGAAUUAGUGCAUAUGGAGUGCUGGGCUGCUGCAGCUGGUUCUCCUUGUACUGGGCUGGUUGGUUUAAAUUAGAUUUAGGUGCCCAGGAGUUCAGGGCUGCUGCAGUUGGGGCCAUAUGCAAGGAGAACAUGUCAUGGACAUCCCUUUAAGGAAGCAAAGUCUGGUUAGGCAGCAUUAAUAGCUUUUCCUUCACUAGCAGGUUGCAAAUCCUGUUUAUGGAUAUCUUUUAUAGCACCGGGUAUUGAAAACAGUACUUUCCCUUGGGAAAUUAUUAUUCAAUGAACUUGGUAUUUGUUUUGAUAUUCAGAUUUGUCGUGGUUGUUGAAAGUGCCAACUUGGUGAUGACCUCUAUCAGAGGGCCUGUUCUGGGGUUUUAUAGGAGUGAGGGAGGCAUGGAAGGACCACUAUACCACUGUUUGGUUCUUACUACCCUGCACUCUCACCUUUCCUUACAGAUGUACUAACUAGAAACUGAAGUCCUUAAAGUGUGUGAAAUAUUUUAGGAAUAGAAGUAAGUCAAUGUUGCAGCCAAGCUGCCUGUAUUUAUCUCAGCCAUCUAGGCCUUCCCAGUCACUGUAGUGUCUGGGAGGUGUUACCAUUUGCUUAUACAGAUCAUGCUGAUCUUUCAGCACAUUGAAGGAAGUCAGGUACAUCUACACAACAAGAAGCUGUCUAUGUGGUAACUGGUUAGUGCUCCUGUGCUUGGGCCAGGCAUGGCAUUCCUGCACCAGCAUCGUCCUCCAGGACUGUGCAUAGCAUUCUCCUCUUUCCAAUCUCUUAUAGAAGAAAAGUGGAGUUUUUGUGUGAAUGGCCAUUAUUAUUAAACUGUAUUCAGCUUCAGGAGUGUGGGACAGGUGCAGGAAUAGGAGAAUUUACAUCACUGGAAAGCUGCUAUUUUACCCUAACAACUUAAGCGUGUGUUGCUUUCCUGCAUAGAUCAAGGAUGUAGAUUGGAUCUGUAAGGCAUUACAUCUCUUGGUAUCAGGUGGCCUGGCUUAAAUUAGUGGUUUUUCUUCUUGCCAAUCAAAACAAAGGAAAGUGUGAAUAAGGAAAAGGCCAAUAUAUGGAUACAGCUACUGUGCUUAAGUUACAUAGGCUGGCAGCUAAUGUUCAGGUUGGUAUCUGUGCUCCUUGUGUUCAUGCUGGAGAGAUGAGAAGAGACCUGGCUGUUCUGUGAUGUCCCACAGGUGUGUUUUAGACUCGAGUGCAGGAAAACAGUGAUUUUCUUUGAUGAAGAUGUUUGCUGUAUUUAGGUGUGCGUCAGGACUUUUCGUAGUGUAUUGACUUUUGAUGGCUGAAAUACAAGAGAUGCUUUUGUUUUUAAAAAAAAGUUGGUUUUGCAGAGCUUUUUUACAUGUUUGAAAUAAGACGUCAGUUUUGAAUGAUGGUAAUCUGCUUUGUGUUUUUAUAUAGUAAUGCUAACUGUUGCAUAAUAGAAGAUUUUUUUAAACUUUAUAUUCCCACAGAAACACUGGGGAGAUAACCGCAGACCAGAGAAUAGUGCUUUUUUUUUUAAUAUUAUUUUUUGAUUGAGUGAGAAAAGUGACUCAGUAUGCUGAUGAAAUGCAGAGAAACUUGUAAUUAAAGAAGAACAAGUGGUAGCCUCUGAUUCACAAGUCUGGAUUUGGUGUCAGGUCUCUGGAUAUGAGUGGACAUUAUCAGGAGAGAUACUAAAGCAAAUGCCUGCUCUAGUGCAUGAAGCUGUAAGCAGCAUUUAUUACUGUGUUGCUUUUAAAGGGAGCUCGCUAUUAGCCAAGGCUAAUUAAUGGCUUUGCAGGAGCACCUGGAGUUCAGUUUGUUCAUGAUGAUCGUGAGGAAGUUGCGGUUGGUGAAAGCAGAAGAGCAGCUGAAGGCUACUCACCUCAUCGUGAGAGAUGAUCAUCUUGUCAGUCCACUGUGGUGGAUGGCCAAUGGCCAUGGCCAGGCUGGCCAUCACCACAGGAGUUCUGUCACAAAGAGGAUGCUUGUGCUGCCCUCAGAGCUGUGAGGGGGCCAGUGCCAGGACCAAGGGUGCCCCAGGCCAGGAGGCAAGGCUGCAUGGGGAGAAACAGUUUUAUGUUAAAGUACUGGGUGGAUGUCUCCAGGCUGGGAUGGUAUUGCUUUUGGUGAAACUAAGUGUGAAUGGUCUCCCCACCAGUUGAGCUGUCCAGCUUGCCAUCCCAGGCAGUGAGUUAAUGGAAGAAAAUGUUGCCCUGAUGUGCUGAGGCAAGAUGCUGGCCCACCUGUAGGUGCCUGACCUGGCUUCUAUGCUCCCUAAUUUCUUCCUGUGCCUAAAGGCAACUGUAAGGUUUCUGUCAGAUUUGAGAGCAACGGAUUGUAGAUUAUGGCCCUACGUGAAGCUAGGUUUCAGGAUUUUGGCAAAUGCAGUACUGGUGGGACCAACCUCCAGAAAAUCUGAUUUCCCAUAGCUCUGGAAGUCUUGUGUUGCACUUGAUCACUGUCUUAAUAAUUCACACUCAAAUAUGUGCCAAAUUCAGGCAAGCCAAUACCGUAAGGUGAAAAGAAGCACAGUGUAUGUGUCUGGCAUACAGGACGCAGGCUGCACAGCAGUGGUAUUCCAGCAUUUCAUUUAAGUAACUUAGAUUUGAAAGAUUUGUUUUAAAAUGUAUGAAGAUUUAAAUUCAAUGACACAGUGAAUGAAAUGUGAAGCUGAUGGAGGUUUUUACUCUAAAGAUUACAAUAUUUAGCCCGAUCAUUAAAGGAUUCUGUGAAAACAACUAAACAUACUCCAAAGGAAGUCAUUCACACAAGUAGUUGUGUGUAGUGGCUGUUUCUAAUUGGUCUUGAUGCUUUAUCACAGUUAGCUUUCCAUUUAGGAGGAAAGAUAGGAAGCCUCAAACUUAAUUCAAGUUAGUGAAGUGAAAUAGCUUUCUCUGCGACUGCUGUUUGAAUCUCUGUAUCUCUUUUAAGAAUAUGCUUAGAGAAUUGCAACAGCAUACCUUGGACAGAAAGCAGAUUUUGUUUUUGUUUUUAAAAAAACGUGUAAGUAUGUCUUUCUAAUGAACAGUUUCUGAUUGGAGAUCUCAAAGGUGCAGAAGAUGCUACUAAUGCAGUUUUUUCCUCAAAAGUCUAUUUUGCAUUUUAAUCUCAUAAAGAACGGCUUUUUAUUUACUUAACUAUUUAGAAAGCAAUACAAGACAAAACCCUCUUAAUUAUAAGGAACUUUCAUAUUGGAAUUGUGGGGUUUUUUACUGCAGAUAAUACAUGCUCUUACAUUGUGAGGAGCAAACUUCUGCGUCACUACAGUUCCCCAGAUCAUUGUAAUAAAGGUGAAAAGGGCCCAGAUGUGUUAGAAUUUGGUUUUCCCAUGUUGUGCAGAGUAUCCUGAUGCCUUCUGCACAGCAGAGAGGAGUGGGGAUCUCUCUUCUUGAAAUAACGAUGGUAGAAAAAAGAGAGCAUGCUGCUGGUGGUAUGAUUUUGGGCUUCAGUAUUUAAUGCAUUAUGUAUAUGUGAUAUUUGCACCUGAAGCUGUUCUGACACUUGUGAGUGUGUGUAGCAUGUAAUGGAGAAGAGGUUUCCUGGUGAUGCAGCCCUGCUGUUGCAUGCAUGCUGUCGGUAUACUACAUAGCUUAGAAGGCUUUUGUGUGUGCAUGUGCAUAUGUGAAAAUACAUGAUAAAACUUCCAAACGGAGCUAAGUUUCAGGAGUCAUUAAGCUGGUAAUUCUGCUGUUUCUGAAUAAACAAGUUGUUGACGGUGUUGUUUGGGAUGUUUUAUGAAUGCAGCUGAAUUUGUUGUCUGUUUAGUGUUAUAUGAACCGUGCAGUAUUGCAGUAAGUAUUGGACUGGGAAAUUGUAACCAUUUCAAAUUGAGUAGUGAGUUUGUUUAGAAUUAGUGAUUAAUAUUGUAUUUGUUCAUGAUACUGGGAUAAAAUAUGGAGCUUCAGUGGAGAUCAUAAUUUCUUGAUAUUACUGCAAACUCUGUAUGUGUACGUGAACACAACUCUCAUGUGAAUUUUAUAGGAGGCGAGAUUAACUCCUAUUGCAAACAUGAUUGAUCAGAGAAUUAUAAGACACUUGUGCUUCUUAACUGGUGGUCACUUCCAGGUUGUGUUUUUAUGCAUUUUAUACAUACACUCUUAAUGUUUGUUUGUCCCUCUUUGCUGUUAUAUUUCCUUCCUGGUUAGCAGGAGAAGGCUUUCAGCCAUACGAGAUCCAUCAGUUUUAUACUUUCCCUUUUGCAUCUUCUUUUCUCGGGUCUUCCCCAUCUUCAUGUCAAAGUAAUUUCAGUGCCCAUAAAGUAGCAGAAUAACAGGCCGUGGGAAGCCAUCUUUUCAGCUCAGGAGAAGUAUUGGUGGAACAAGUGAACUUGUGACCAAACUGCCUCUAUGUUACUGCUUUUUUAUUUUAUUUAUUGGUUAACAAACACAGAGGUAACUUGGUGCCUAAUCUUUACCUGCCUUUAAUUUAGGAGUGGAAAAUCGAAAUGAGAGCUGAGAAAUAGUCAAAUGCAAGUGAAUUUUGACAACUGUCAUUCAAGCAAUAUAAACCUUUAAGUUAAUAGUGGAAUCAUACGGAACAACUACUUGUUUGAGGGUAUAUGAGUUUCUAAGUGCACAUGAGUUGAAUGCACAGGAGCACAUACAACUUGUAGGUGCUUGCUACUUCCUACAUCAUGCCUUCUUUCUCAGGUGGGUUUUUAUUCUGACUAGUAUGUACAGGAUAUGUAUAUAAUCCCUUUCAAUGACCAUUUACAAGCUUUCAAAAUCCUGUGUUCUCCCUGCAAGAAAAGAAAUGGACACAAUUUAAGAUAGUAAGUUUUCAAAUUUUUAUCACUCUGAAAACACUGGAGAAAAAAAAAUCCAUUAAAUAUAUAACAGGCUUAAAUUCUUUUAUGAGGCAUCCAGCACUGGACUAGUGUUCUUAAUUACUUUUACAGACUCCAUAGAAAAUAAUAACUACAGCAUAAUAAUUGCUGAUCUAAUGCUAUAUCUGAAGGAAGAGACCUCUGGAUGGGAUAAUAAUACUAGCCAGAAAAGACAAUGACAGAAGUCAAAGUGUUUGGUAGUGUUAAGCACAAACUGUUUAACUUUGAGAUGGCCUUUACAGUCCUGGUCCUGAAAUGCUGCAAGUGGUGAACUUUGAUUUAAGAAGUAUUUGUUAUUUUGAUGACCUCAGCCAAGGCAAUCUGGGAUGGGCAAAGAUGCAGAGAAAUAAUUAUUUGGAAGCACGAGCAGAUGUUGCUCUAGCUUCUCAAGGAAAUUUCUUAUGUAAAAAGACACUUGAAAAGCAAAAUGGAGCUUUCUGUAUUGAAAACAAUGUAAUACUUCAGUUGGUGUUUCUCCAGCUUUUUUUGUUGUAUGACCUGUUGUCUUAGGGAUAAGGCCCUGUCAGUAGUAAAAGCCUGAGUUGUAUUAAUAGAGGUGGGUCUUCCAGGACACUUAAAAAAUGGUUUGCAAAACAAGCAAUAGCAAGUUGCUUAUGAACACAGACAAGAGGCUCUGGGGAGACCUCAUUGUGUCCUUCCUGUAGUUGAAGGGAGCAUAUAAACAGGAGGGGGCACGGCUGUUUAUGAGGGUGGAUAGUGAUAGGACAAGGGGGAAUGGUUCUAAAUUGAGACAGGGGAGGUUUAGGUUAGAUAUUAGGAAAAACUUCCUCCUAAAAAAAACCCCAAAACUGCUGGGAAACUUGCUGAAAAAGUGCUGGAAUAUUUAAAUAGCUGCUGUUAGUACUGAUACCUGGUUUUCAGAUGGCAGUGGUGCUAAUUUCACUGGUUUAUUGAGAAAUCCUUUGAAGUCAUUCAUAAUCUCAUUCUGGCUCCAUCCCAACAUAGCAUUUCCAGGUCAUUUGCUACUAAACAAUCUGUUUAUGGGCUGUGCCAGUGCAUCUUGCUGGACAAGAUGACUCACACUUGUGCAGUGAGGAGCAGAACGAAGUUUCUGACAAAGCUUGUUUCCCCAGCUGGGACUUCAGCAGCAGCUCCACAUACGGUAGUUCUGGAGGCCUCUGAGGAACUCCAAGUCAGCAGCCAGCAGUCUUUCUCAAACUCGGUCGCUGUGGCAGCAGGUGAAAGUUGUCCGUGUAGUUUCCAGGCAGAUGGACAGUAUGCAGCAGGGCUCUUGCAGCCUGAGAUGGGCUGCUGCAGGUCCUGUGUGGAAGUGGAGUCCUGACAGCAACUGGGUGAUGCGUGUUCUGAACUCUGAAAUCCUUUUUGUUUCUUUCCCUCUCAAAUGAAAAGCAAAGCAAACUUCAAAUGUGGUACUUGAUACUUAUUUGAAUAUAAUGGGCAUCACGUGUGUGAUUGACAGGGUAUCUGAAUUCAUCUCACAGUAGAUUUGUGUAUCAAAUGCUUUGUUUCAAGUUGGCAGAAAUCUGUAAUGUCUCAGUUUCAAAUGUAACGUAGGGUAAGUCCCAUAGAUGUGGGUGCACAAACAUAAUAAGCGUUAUUCAUUAAAAAUAAUAAUAGUUCAAGAUAAAUAACUUUUUUGGUGUACGAGAAUUCUGCAGUUGUCCUUGGCAUUCUGUUGACUGGACUUACUGCUAGAAUGGUUAAUAAGUACUGAAUGCAGUAUUUAUGUUGUUAUUGUAUUUUUUCACAACUGCUGAAUCUUAUUCUUAAGGCCUUACAGAUCUGCCAGUAGAAGAGUUAACAAUGUAGUCACUGUUAUGGGAGAAACAACUACACUUACAGUUAUACUGUGUUGAAGACUCAGAGUGCCUUUUGUUUUGUUUUUCCUCACAGACGUGGCAGAUCAGGCAUAGUGAGGAAACGCAACUGAAAGCUUGAACAACUGUCUUGAUUCCCCUUUCUCUUAUAUGUGUGUAAGGACUGUUACUGCAGGUUUGAAUGUUUUUUUUUUUUUAGAAAGCACAAAAGCUGGCAGUCUCCUUUUUUUUGUUCCUUGACAGUCUUAAAAGACAUUUCUGGUAAAAAUGUUUAAGUAAUAGCUAGAUAUCUGUGACCUUCCCCCCCCAGCCCCCUCCUCCACCUCUGCAAAAACUGUUUAAGUUCACCACACUGAUAAGGUCUAUAGUUGAACGAUGGCAUAGCUUUGGGGAAUGAAGGAGUAUGCCAUGCUGUUCAGCAAAUACAGUCUGCAAACACAGGUUAAUGGUUAACUACGCUUAAGUCUGGAAACCAUCAUAUAGUAAUUACAGCUAAUUAUGAGACGAUACAAGUGCAUUGACAUUUGGUGUCCUGGGAACACACUGUACCUUCAAAACGUGCUGCUGGGAAAAGGAUUCAAAUACUACUGUGCCUUCUUAGGACAGAAAUACCAUUCUUCAGAAUAAAAUAAAUGAUCUUAUAGCAACGCCUGGCAUAAGCACGCAAGCCUAUCUGCUUUAGUGAAAGUUUGAUGUAAGUAACUCUAAAGAAAGAUUAGUCUAUUACCACUUUAAGGGGGAGCAUCUUGUCCAGAUGUACAAUAAAUUCUUGCUUCUGUUUGGCUGAGCAGCAAUGUAUAGAGCAAAGACAGUUUCUUGUGAUGUACUUUCAAGCUCUUCAGGAGCUUGUCCCUAGCAUACUCUGUUUUGGCUUCUGUGUAUGUGUUGAGUAUGUGCCACAGUGCAAAUGUAUCAAGUGUGUUGUGCUUCCCUAUGACUCCCCUUCUUGGUAGCCUCUGUGAAAUCAGAAUUUUUAUAGCCAGUUUUUCCUGCCUUUCUGCCUUCAAAUGAGAGGCUGUGGCAGAAGGAAGAACUGGCUUCCCAAUAUCUUCUUUGCAGGACUAAAUGAAUCUGUUCUUUAUCCCAUUGUAUUUAUCCUUUUCAUUACAUAUAUUGUACCUUCUGCUGAAAGUCAGGUUCUGCAAAUGAAUCUCAGCUCUUAUGGCUAGCUUUUCUGCACAGUUCAUCUCACCAGCAUUUCACAAGGUCAACAGGAGCAGAGCAACAAGUGAGGGCUCAAAGGCCGUGGCUCUUAAAGCUUCAUCUUGAGAACACUUACAUUUAGGCACAACUUUUCCACUGAACGUCCCCUUUGUUGACCUCAGAGAUUACUUGGAUUCUUGCAACUGAGCACAAAUGUAAAUGCUUACAAGUUGGCUAGUACAGAACUGGGAGGUGAGCUAGAAACAUAGCUAUGGAGUGUAGAGCUUAUUUUCCUGCUCCCGGGCUAUGGACUGGCCAGCUGGAUGGUUUGACUGGCCUCAUCUACUACCCUAAGAAGAUAGGUGUCUUUUGAGGUCCCCUGGAAUGUCUUCUGGGCCAAGGGAGCUGCUCAGGUGGCAGUCAAGGCCUCAUUUGGGCCACAGAAUCUAUCCCGAGUAGCACGUGGAAAUCAAGGCCUGGUUUAGGCCUUGGAAUCCAUCCAGAAUAGCUUAACUUUGUGUCAUAGUGUGGGAAUCUUUACAGAAAAGGCAACGCUGCAGUCAAGACACUGCUUCAUAGUUCAAGAAGUAGUAUUUCUUGCACUUAUUAAAAGCACAGUAGUUAGUGUCAUCCAGCCACUGCAUCAGUCUCGCAGGUCAAUUGUGUUUAUACUGAUUAGUUUCUGGGGAUGCUCAGUGCGUUCAUGAUCAUGGUAAGGAGGAUAUGCAGGACUGAUGGAUGACAGCGGUUCAGUUGAUCUGUGUGUGGUGUGUACUGGAGAAUAAAAACAUAGUCUUGAGCGUGCUUAGGUUGCUUCAGUUCUGUCGGCCUUCGAUUUGGUUAAUCAUAGAAUCAUAGAAUUACUCAGGUUGGAAAGAACCUCAAAGAUCAUUAAGUCCUUUAAUAGCAUGGUUUAAGAAACAGCUCUGCGGUAUCUGUAAAUGCCUUUUAGGAGCAGGGAUGAAAGUACUCGUAUUGAUGUUUUCUGUGAUAGUAGGCAUUUGGAGUACCUGGCUUCUCACAAGCAAAGCUUCUCUUGAUUUACAGUGAGUUUAUGCUUCAAUCCCAGCACACCUGUUUUUUGUUGUACUCAAAUGUACAUGGGGGCUGCCUUGAAAGCUGAGGUAUUAUCUGAGUUAUAUUGUCUGCAUUGACCUAAAGAGAAAGGAAAUGGUUGAAAAUGUAGCUGAAGGUGCAUUUGGAUUAAAACACUCAGAGAUCAUGGAGCAUAGGGAAUCAAUAGAUUUGUAGCAAGUUUCUGUGGUCUUUGCAUGAAACUUAGUGCCGUGAAGUAGUUUUAAUUCAGUACUGUUCAGAUAAAACGGGAAGAACAACUAGGAUUUUUUUUUUUUUUUUUAACCUUGGGGAAAAAAAGGCUUUGUUAUAAAUCUGUUGUCUUUUAAAAUAGAUCUUUGUGGUUUGUGGUCAUGCUUGGAAUAUCUUUAUUUCCUUAAUUAAAAUGCCUCUCAUUUUGAGACUAAAUUGGACUGGAGGGAGAUUGUGAAAAAGGCAGUCUUGCUGAGAUUCCCUACUUUCCUUGAAAUUAGUUUGUAUGAGAAAUCAAAUUCAGGUGCUAUUCUUCAGUAAAGCCCAUUGGCUCUGUCAGGGUUAUACUGUUGCAUGUUUGGAAAAGGAUAAUUUUCUUUUCCUGCCAUUUACCUUGAUUAUAACUCUUCUAUACAUAGGUUUCUCCUGCUGCUCUAUGUGCAUAGCUACUGAUUUUAAAAGAAAGCUUGAUGUACGGUAUGCAUGCUGUCUUUUAAACAUACACAACAAUAUGGAUAAAUGUAUAACACAGGGAAAACAAGUUCCAGACUCUCAAAGUGCCUAGCAUUCAAGUUUUUCAUGUGUUAUUUUGUUUUUUUUUUGUUUUUCCUACUGUAUGGCUGCUGUCAGAUGGCUGUCCAAUAAGACUGGAGGGUAACUUUUAAGGCAAAGUUUCAAAGAUUAUAUUUAUUUGUACACACAUGGAGAUAGGAGACUAGAAAGCUCUUGAUUGAUACUGGAACAAUAUGUCAGGGCAAAAUAUUUUCUUAAAGCUAAAUUGCAGGUGUGUGUAUAUAUAUAUUUACUAUCUGGGCCUAUCAUUUAGACUAUCUUUUAUAAUUUGGUUGAUCAUAAGGGAUGAAAUUAGAAGCAGUCAGUCUAGCUAAUUUUUAAAACUGACAGCUUCAAUAUAGGAAAAAUGUAUUUCAGUAUCAAAGAGUAUUUUGCUGCAUUACAUUUUGUUGAAUGAGUGUAAUUCUACUCUUUUUUUUUUUGGAUCCUUUCUUUUUUGUCAUGUGUUGUCAUUCAGUAUCUAGUAGUAUUCUGUAGAAUUAAGAAAAAAUAAGUCACUUAUUUGUGCUCACUGUACUGCUCUUCAGUCUUUCUUAAGAGACCUCUAAUUUUUUAAUGCUGAAUUCUGUCAGUUGACUUCAGAGCAAAACAAUGGUGCAGAUUUUAUCAUUGAUUUUCUUUAUUUCUUUCUGUUAUGAGGACAUAUUCACUCUUUUCCAAUUUAUUUUAGGUGUUAAAAGAGAACUGAAUAGGGAUAAGGAUCCUGUUGAGCUGAACAUGACACAGAUGAGCCUCUAAAGAUGGAUUGUCCUCCCAAGCACUAGUUGUUUGCAUUUGUGGUUAUUUUGGCUUAUUAAACGUCUCAGUAGUUAUUACAGACAUAGAAAUUUUGCAGCAGUUCUGCAUACCUGUCAUUCUAGCAAAGCACGUCUACAAAACUAGGAAUUAGUCUCAAGAGUUUCUAGCUUGUAGACUUACUUGGGAAGAAUGCCAGAAAGAGAUGAAAUGAACACCUAAGGAAUUGCAUUAAAUUCAACUUUAUCAAACUAAAAAAGGUUCUUGGGUUGUAGGUUGCUUGUAGGAUUUCUCUGACAAAUAGGCUGAGCGCAGAAGCUCAAGGAAUGAUAGGAAUUUUCUUUGUCCUCUGGUAAACUCAGCUUGGGAUGUCAAAGUUAAUUGGGUGAUUCUUGGGGUUAAAAGUGAGUCUUGGGCCUGAUUCUGCCUCUGCUGUCCUUUUAUGCUGGGGUGGGAAAAAAGGAAAUGGGUCACAUGCAUGGAAACUGGACUUGUAGACGGAACCUGGUGGGUAGGUUUGGUGACACAGAGCUGGAGUUACCAUCUGUUCGCUUACGUUUCUGUCAGCUCUGCUAUGGUAAUGGAGCUGAUAAAACUCCUGUUGUUAACCUCUCGUCAGUGCUCCCUUUAUCUGUCGAGUCAGAAAAUGAUAGUUUUCUGUAGCUACUUUUAGGAGUGUGUAUUUAGAGAAAGCACAUUUACUCCUAAUGCAAUUUCAUGCAUUUCUACUUUAUCCAUUUUGUAUACUGAAGUUUUAAUUUGGGACAGCCCCAUUCAAAUACACGUAUUUAAGGAAAUCCAGAUGAGAAUUUGAAAUGAGUAUUGUUCAGAGUAAUAACGUAGUGUGAGCGUUUGACUGUGGCAACAUUGAAAUAUCCCUGCUUAGUACCAUUGGCAGAAUUAAUGAGCUAUCAGUGCACUGCUUUGUAUAACACACAGGUUGCAGGUGCAUGUGAGAAGACCAAACAAUUUAGGUAGAAAAAAAAUGUUCUGUAGAAGUGUAACAAAUUUAGCAACUUUAAUUUCCAUCUUUUGUAGAGUCUUUUUAUGUUCAGGUUCUGUGUGAGUAUAUAUAUAUAACAUAAGUAAUGUAAUAAUUUUCCGUACAUAUUUAUAUAAUGAAUAAUAAAUAAGAGGAGGUUUGAAAACUCCCUCCCCGCGCCCCCCCAACACUCACACACUCUCUGCUGCUGAAAUUAUAGAAGUGAAAUCUGAGCCCUUCCUUGUCAACACUAGGAAGGUUUUACCUUCGUGCUUCUGCCAGACUCAGGCCAGGAAGCUUGCUUUGGGCCUAGUGCUUAAGCAGGAAUCCAAGAGUUUCCUUGUCAUCCUUUGAUGCGCACCAGUCCUCCUUCCUCAGCAGGUGAGGAGGGCAGUUCCAGCUGCCUCCAGCUGAUGUGGAGGUAUGAGAGACCACUUCCCCAAGUACUACAGAACUAGCUAUGAAGCUGUCUGUUCAGACAGGGAGGGCAUGGAUGUUCGUGCCUUUGCUCUCAGGGCAUUUCUGCAGCUUUUCAAGCACCCGAUAGAGGUUUAAUGUUCGUAUCCUUGACCUAUAAGAUGGAGAUAAAUGUUUGCUUCUGCAAUACACAGUUCUAAUCAGUCGAGAGUAUUUCCUUUUCUCCUCUUGAUUCAACCUGAAAUGAAACAUAUAGGUGCUUUGAAAAUACACUUCCUCUGAUUUCCUUUUUUGGUGUUUGAAUUUGCAUUUUUCCUUUCAGAUCAUAGGAAGGAACAGUUUCCCCACUUAUGUUUUGAUUUGGCUUUUAAUUUUUAGCUCACCUGUAGACUGCGUCUUAUCCCAGUUAGUUUGCAUGUCUUCCAUCAGUGGUCAGUAUAGCUCAAGGCCUUCCUUCCUGUGGUAUUUUGUUUACCUUCCUCAAGGCCAGACUGGAUGUGGCUCUGGGCAGCCUGGUCUGGUGGUUGGCAACCCUACACAUAGCAGGGGGGUUGAAACUCGAUGAUCGUUGUGGUCCUUUUCAACCCAGGCCAUUCUAUGAUUCUAUGAACACACUGCGGGGCUUUGAAGUACUGUGCCGAAGAAAUACAAGGCAGAUUGGUUUAAUCAGAUGAGGUCAAAUUUAUCGGACCCCCUGUGACGAUUUAGCUCAGUGAUGUGAGUGAAACCUUUCAUACUUUUUUUUGUCUGUCCCACCUUACCAUGGAAGCAGGAAACAUCCAGAUAGAAAUCCUUUAAUUCAAAGGAAAAAAAAAAGGAUAUUACUUUAAUUUCAUACAGUUGCAUAUUUUAGGCACUAGAGGGCAGACUUGUACCUUUGUGUAUAAAUUAAUAACUGCAAACUAAAAUAAUUAGCCGUAAAGCUAUAGAAAUAAAUGCCCAAUGAAAAACAUUUUGAUGCGCGUGUUUUUUUUUAAUAAAGCAAAUAGGAAUAUCACUUUUUACUUUAGUCAAAGCUGUUUCAUUAAGGAUUUAUUGUUGUUGUGUGCUCUAAAUUGCUUCAGCGCUCUGAAAUUUGCUGACUGAUUUCAGUUGAAAUAGCAGUGACAGGGUUGGUAGGCAAGCUGAUUCCCUUCUGUCUCUCGUUCUGUAAAUACAUUACCUCAUAGAAACUGUGCCUAUGCUAUGUUCUGUGCUCACAGGUAACUGGGUAAACUAAGUUUUCCUUUCAGAUAACUAACAAGAAUACUGCGGGCAAAAAUCAGUCACCUGAUAUUUGGGUCCAAGAUGACCAUUUCUGCAGUGCAUCUCUGUAAUUCUUUUCCUAGUAUGAAGUUUGAAUAUAAUUCUGCCAUGCAAAUGGGAAGCAUUUUGCAGUGAGGUAAGUAAGAGAUGGCAGGCACCAGCAGAACAUAACGCCUCUUGCUUGUCUUAGCUAUUCUUUCCCUUUGUUAAUUUCUCAAUAGCAGGUAUGUUUAAAAAGAAUAAUAUAGUAAUGGAAUUGAUUCACUCAGUGCUGUCUUGUGGAUAUUAAAAAAUGACUGUUUUAUUGCUUGUUAUCUCAGGUUUUACAAAUGGCAGGAGAGCAUCUGAGAUGUGCCUGUUACAUAGAAAAAGGCUCGUGUUGCAAUGAUGUUGGAAAAGCAGCAGUGUGAUUAGUUGAUACAGACAUAGAGGAUGCUGAUACCUGGCAUAAGAAUGCCAGCGGGGAGGAUCUAUCAGCUGUCUGUGAUAAAAUUCCUUUCCACACAGAAGAAUGUAUGAAAAACAUUCUUCAGAUGGAUGUUGCUAUUAACGUCUCCUCCUUUCAUGGAUUUCAUAGUAUCUAAUGACUGUUCUAAAGAUUCAGCUCUCAAAUUAGUUUAUUUAAAUAUUUCCUGAUUGUAAGGAAAACCUAAUUGAUUCAGUUUUUAUAAAAGCUUGCACAUGCAAGUUCCCGAGGCUUCAGAAUUAGUCCCUAAAUUAAACAAUUCAUAAUGACUUCUGUUUGGCCUCAUGAAGUUGUUGACUUGGUCCCAUUUCACCUGCCAUCUUCUCGCCAUCUUCUCUGGUCCUAAGACAUUCUUUCUCUAAAGCAGUAUUUUCUACUUGCCUUUUUAAUAGUACAGGCAGACGAUAAGUGUUUUUAUAGAUGAGAGCAACAACACCAAAAGGACCUUUUCUCAUCUCUUUUUUUUCAUCUGAGCAUGUUUUUUAUUGUACCGUUUCAUUUUCAGCUGCUUCAUUACUAAGAGUGGUAAACAUCCCUCUGAGACGAGAUCAAUGACCUCAAUUAUGCAGAAACAUACCUCUCCAUUUGGAAAAACCUAGUGUGAGUGGCAGCAUUCCACAGAGCCCAAGUGAAGGACAUGUGCGUUGUUCCCACCUAAGAUAUAAAUGCAGCAGGAUCUCUUCCUUCUGCUACAAAGCACGUUCAACAUCCUCUUUUUUCUACCUUUGUUUCUUAGUUGAAUUGCAGCUCUGGCAAAUAGACACUUAUAGUUGUGUGAUUUGUUUAUUGCAAAAGGGGUAAAAUGGGAGAUGGGUAAAUAUUAAGAAGAAUAUACUCAAUUGAUGUUUUCCUACCUCUUCCUACUUCUAAACGUGUCACUAAUUGCCUGAAACAAUAACAGGUAAAACACCUCAGAUGUAAAUUACGAUGUUCAGAGGUGAUAUUGUGCCUUGUGGACAGCUGCAUAGUGCUUGGCUGCCAAGAGCUGCUGUCCCCUUCACGUGUUUGCUGAAGAGGUUGUCUGUUGCAAGACUUAGCACAAAGAUACCUCCACUAAGGCUAAUGGACACUUGUACUUCAACUUGUCUUUUCUAGAUCUCUUUGUCUCCCUGUCUUUUUUUUCUCUCUUUGUGGUUUCCUGGACCGCUUAACUCCUGCUUUUUGGAUGAUCAUACUCACUUGCCUUCUUCGCAGCUGUGAGACAUUGAUCAGAGGCAUCCCUACUCCUUAUUGAGGAUUUUGCUUUAAUGUUUUACUCCAUUUCUUUUUCUAGUUUUUGGAGUGUUUCUAAAGAAUGAUGAAACUUGGGUGAGUCGUAACUGAAAAUGUAAGAACAGUUACUUUACUUACUCAUUUAAUGCACUUUUAAGAAAUGGUGCCCUGGGAAGCAAGUAAUAACAUUACACUCGGAUGUUCUGGUAUUAUCAGGUGAUUAAUCUUCAUUUGCACUAAACAUUUUGGACAUUUUUUUUUUUCAGUGCUCAGUGUGUUAGACUAUAUAAUGCACUGGCAAUCUACAGCUGCUCAUGAUGGGUGCCUUCUGGGGAAUGCUUGGAGAAUAAGACAAUUGGCUAAAUGAAAUGAAAAUUUGCCUGAUUCUGGUUGGCAGACUUAUCUGCUUAUAGGUCCCAGAAGCUUUUUACUGAGCUGUAAGGUAUGGUAUAUAGAAUAGAAAAUAUGUAUCAGGUGCUACGUAUAAUACAAAGGUAAUAGUGUUGUUUUAGACUGGGAGUUGGACAUUAAAAAGAAGAUUAGAUGUGUGGAAUUAUAUUGGACAUGAACGUGUCGAUCUGUAAAAAGUUACCUGUAAUGGCCCUUAAACAGCAGAGUGCUUGGGUUCGUUCACUGGAAACUGGUGCAAGCUUUGCUUAUAUUUGCCAUCUGUAGCCCGGGGGUCCAGGAAGGAAACUCUUAACAAAAGUUCCCAAAUGGCAAGGACAGCUAAGGCAGCAUAAAGAGUUUCACUGUUAUCCUUGCAUCUUCUGAUGCUGUCGGGGGAAUGAAUGUACUGCUGUUCCAUCAUCCACUUCCCCUGCUCAGAUGUAUUUUCUGUCUCCUACGCUCCUCGCAAGGGUCUCCCCUGGUCCAUGGGAUGCUGGGAGCUGUUAGUGCAGGUGUUGGUCAUUGCCAACCUGAUCUUAUUAGGGACAGUUGCUGAUAGGCUCUGGGUGUCAUGCCCAUCUGCAUGCUUGCUCGCUGCCAAGGCUUCCUGCAGCAUCUCCUUGCUGGAUGGGCUGUGGUUCAGUUCCUGUGCACAGACAUCUCCUUGGUCUCAGUACCUGCACUGCCUCUGUGCAGGGACUUGUUUUCUGGUUCACGUAUUCCCACGUGGGUAAGCUGGCAGCUGUUGCUGUUGCAAAGAGGUUCCUUUAGUUCAGAGUGGCCUGAAAGAGCCCGGGAGCACACACAGAGAAAUACCGCUGUAUUUUCAAUUAUCCUUUCAAAGCUGUGGGGGCAAACUUGUACAAGCUAUAUGGGUAUUCAUGUGAAGGAACAUCUGCUCGUAUGGAUAACAUUAGGAAUCACUGUACUUUAUGCCAAGUUUCAUUGUAAUUUGAAAUCUUGUUCCGUGACUCAUUUAUUUUGAAUAAAAUCUGAAUUAACCUAUAGAAGGUAUGAUUUUCCUUUUGAAAUGGACUGUGACAUUAUCCGACCAGCCAAUUGAUUGUUUACUCUGUUCAUUCAAAAUGGAAGGCUGUGGAGCAGGUAGCUUCUUUGAAACUCAACACUGCAUAGAGGCUGGGUUUAUUUCUCCCUCUCUUCAUGUAGCGUUGAACAGAUAGUAACAACCUGUCCUAUUUCUGAUGGGUGUGUGGGCAUGUUCUUUUUCUUUUCAGCCUCUGAGAAUUAAAAUCCGUUAGGAGCUGGGACCCCUUGGGAGGUGAUAGAGAAGAGCGCUUUCCACAGCCUUAGCUUGUAUUACCCUCAGUUUCAUUUUCUCAGUACAUUUUUAAGUGGAUAAGCCCCCAGCAGGUUGGGGUAGAAUUGCGUUUACUGAUUUGUGUGAUUCUAACUCAUAGGCAGGAUCAAAGCAGACAACAUUAUUAGCUGGGGUAGCUAUCAGACCUGUAGCUUCAUGUGAGCCUUUUUCUAAUUCAGAGGUUGGUUACUGUUUGGUGUGGCUUUCUGCAUCGGAGACACACAAGCAGCUGUUAAUCUUUAAGGGCUGUAUUAGACUAAGGGCUAUAUUGAGUGAGUCCUUGGUAAAGAUCAUGCAUGAGGCUAUAGUGUGAAAAGUAGGUAGUUUUGGUGUUGUAUACGUCACUCUGAAAAACCUUUGUGGCAGGGGAUGAUGUCCAUUUCGUGAGUGGGUCCUACUGAGGUAAAAGAUGAAAUUGAGCCACUACCAUAAAGCUGUUCUGAGCUGUAAGGAUAUAUCUGCUGGUGUACAUAGUUUCUGUUCACUUGAUGCUGUUUCUCAAACUUGAUGCCUUCAGAAGGAGAAAGUAUUUGAAAUGUUAGCAGGAGCGCUCAUCACUGAAUGCAAAUCAGACAGGUAAAUGGUGGCCUGAUGACUGUUAAGUGCAGCCAUUCUGUUUUCAUCAUCAGUUGUGUCUCCAUGGUGCUUCUCUUGCCUGUUAAGGCGUUGGCCUUCAGGGUCCCUGGUAGGCUGUUAUGUCCAUGCUUCCAGGUUGGGACAGACAACGCUGACCUGCAGCUCUUCCAGGGUGUUCGUGCUGGUGAGACUGUCAUGUCUGCACCAGAAACAGCCUCUUCUAGACUGAAGGGAGUAUUUAUUUCUUCUUACUAGCUGGUGCUGGUCCUAACGGUGGUUGCUUUUCUCCAGCAGUCCUGAACAGCAGAAGGUGAGUAAACUUUACUCAUUGCAAACUAAUGGUAAUUGUGGAGCUCAGAAUGUGCGGGUUGACAGUUUGUAACAGGCUAUGGUCAGUGGCUUCAAAGUAGGUAAGGAGAUUGAAGACUGUGGAUGUUAGUUGUGACAUCUAAUUCUCUCUUGCUGUUCAGAUAGGUGUGUACUUCCCCAUUUUCCUCUAACUUUAGCAAUAAUUAUAUCUUAAAUACGGCUUUAGGUAAGCCAGAACUGUGCCAUCUUAUUCAUGCAGAAAUUGGGGAGUUUGGUGUGUGCAAUGAGAUCGGGACUGUCCUUGUUCUCUUUUGGCUCUGUACAGCAGCUUUAUUGGAUUAGGAUGGGCUAGAUAACCAGAAUCUGGCCAGCACCUGACUGUGUGUAUCUGAGCCUUUUAACACUGUGUUCAGUCGUGAACAAGUGAGUUGGGUGAUGUUACUGAAUUGACCCAAAUGCUGCAUGUAGUCAGGGAGGCCACUGAGAUGUGGAUGCCUAGUGGGUGUUGAGGUUUGAUGGGAUGGAUGUUGCAAGGUAUCACUUCUCUAGGCUGUGUUUCAGAAAAGAAAGCUGUUAACUAAGUAUUCAAAUCUACUGCCUGAUGCUUCUGCUGGGAGUACUGUUGUUGCUGUUGUAAGGUAAAAUAGACAAACUUCACAAAUCUCAUUGAUUUUUUUCUCCAUGUAAAGCUCCUUUCAUUUGGCUUUCCUAAGCCAAAAAAGUGCCUGACCUGGCUUUUUGUGUGAUCAGCUACACAGCUCAGCUAUUCAAAUUGUAGCAACUUAGUACUGUUUCUAAGCUCAUAGAUCUGUUAAACCUAAAUAAAGGUAGUGAACUCUCUGAAUGCUUUGUUUUGUGAUGCUUCAGCUUUGUGGUGUCUUUUAUCAGAAAUCCAUCAGGUUUUUUUUUGUGUCAUGCUGGCUGGCACAUAUGUCUUGAAUGUAAGUCCCAUCAUUCCAUCAUUCAAUUUCAUUCCCUUGACAUCCCAUGGACUUACUGAUGUUGAGGAACCUGCCUCAGCUAACUGAAAAUAAUGGUUAUUAGACUGAAAUAAAAACUGGAAGCAUCUGAGUUGGUUUUAAUUUACUAAUGUGAGUUCCUGUGUAAAUAAAGGCUUAUUCUUGUACGUGUAAUGUAAAUUCCAUACUCUAAACAAGGAAGAAAUGUUAGAAGCCUAUCUGCUGAUAUGAAUGUCUGUACUUGCUUAUCAGAAGUUAUGUGACUCAGGUAAUCUUGAGAAAGCAAAAUGUCCAAAUACUAAACCCUUGCUGGGUGACGUAACUGGCUUUUACGUUGUUGUGGAGCUUUCUUGUCACUAAGCCCUAGCAGGCUGCAGCAUAAGUGAUCUGCCGAGAUGCAUUUUGCGAGAUAUUAAUGUCAUGAAUUAUCUAAAGUGAUUCAUAAUUGAGAAGAGUCUGUCUUUCUACAGGAAAAAGAAAAGAAAAGAAGAAAACCCACAAAGACAAACAAACAAAAAACAGCGCUCUUUUCAGGCUCUUGUAAAUGUGUUUACUUAAAAUAAAUUUCACAGAAUUACAAAACCUGGAAGUUGCACAUGUCAAACGGGAUCUCAGCUAUUUCAAUUUAGACACAUUUUCACUGUUCACAUAAUACAACAGGAAAAUUCUAAUUUUUGGCGAAUUGUAUCUUGUUUACUUUCUCCAGUGAGACCAUUUUAAAACAAUCUCUGAGUUGUUGUAUGUCUUUAUUGCGCAAAGCAGGAAAAACUACAUUACAGCUCUAUCAGCAGGUUGGUUUUUCUUCACUAAAUACCUGUUCAAGGAGCUUGCAAUGCAUACAGAAUGCUCAGCCGUGUUGUAGGUUAUAUGAAGCAUGAAAUUAAAAAUCUGAGUAUUUAUCCUGGGCUUUCCCAUCAGUGUGUCAUUUGGCUUUCCUAUGGACUCCAUACUGAAGAGGUUUUCCAAACAUAUGUCACUUAUGUCAUCGUGCAGUUCAGGGGAAGUAUCCAUGCAUCCUACAAGCUGCCAGUUUGUUUCUGGGGAAUGGCUUUAAACUGAGACAGGAGAGGUUUAGGUUAGAUAUUAGGAAGAAGUUUUUCACCCAGAGGGUGGUGACGCACUGGAACAGGUUGCCUAAGGAGGCUGUGGAUGCCCCAUCCCUGGAGGCAUUCAAGGCCAGGCUGGAUGUGGCUCUGGGCAGCCUGGUCUGCUGGUUGGCGUCUCUGCACAUAGCAGGGGGGUUGAGACUGGAAGAUCACUGUGGUCCUUUUCAACCCAGGCCAUUCUAUGAUUCUAUGAUUCCCUCUUUUUGGAUCAUCUUUCUUCAUGAAGAAAACUUGAUUUCUGUAAGCUAGCAUAGGAAUUGUAAGCCUCUACUGGCUUGCUUUCCUUGCAGCAGGGAGGGCACAAUCUGAAAUAGUCUGAGGGUGAUUGAUAGAACUCUUUUGAGUACAAGGAUGACUAGUAGUUAACUAAUGCUCUGUCUGUAUUCCCAACUCUUAUACAUGCUGAACAAAAUUAUUUUUGUGUCUAAGCUUAGUGUUACCUCAUAUGUAUUUUUACAGAGCUUCUUUAGCAAAAUGGCGG